This is a long non-coding RNA of Dermacentor andersoni, 2104 nucleotides long. RefSeq lists it as uncharacterized. The record is from RefSeq and is a predicted model, not a curated record. NCBI's taxonomy places the organism in Eukaryota, Metazoa, Arthropoda, Arachnida, Ixodida, Ixodidae.
UAAAACCACGGCGCUGCAGUUUUUGCUUUUCUCUUCUUUCUUCUUCUCCGCCCUUAAACUGGCUCUCUCAACUACUACACGCAGAGACAAAGCAACAGCGCGCGCAUUAGAUCCCAUAGAUGAGAUGAAUAUUUACAAUUAGUAUUAGGGUUAUAAUUAUAUUCGAGUGCUGAUUGCCGUGCUAUCGUUUGUUAACGAAGCUUUUCCUCAAGUCUAAAUAUAUUAAGGCAGUUUGUCGUGUGCGUAUCAUGGCUACGCACGCUUAUAUCGCAUUCCGUUUCUCUACCACGGGUGCGCUUUAAAACCACGGCGCUGCAGUUUUUGCUUUUCUCUUCUUUCUUCUUCUCCGCCCUUAAACUGGCUCUCUUCACUGUACUACACGCAGAGACAAAGAAACAGCGCGCGCAUGCGAUCCCAUAGAUGAGAUGAAUAUAUAUAUAUAUAUAUAUAUAGAGAGAGAGAGAGAGAGAAAACUAUCAGUCAUAGCUCUCGUAGUAUAGCCCUCUGGGCCGUUUCCUUUUUUUUUUUCGAAAGUAGUCCUAUUAGGGUUAUUAUAAUUACACGAAGGUAUUUCGCCCUCAUCAGCAGCAGUCCUUGGUAUAGUUAUUCUGGCGGCUAGCUUCCCACGCUAUGCGUGCCGCCAUCGCACCUGGUUAAGCUUUUCCUAGACGCUAGAGUUAGGCUUUGUCCGCGCAACCUUGAGCGAUCGGAAAGCGCGUCUCCCCCUCUUGGCCGGCGGAGAAGGGAAGCUUCGUUCCGGCCGCGAGGCUCUCCACAUCUCUGUAAGGUGCCUUGGGGAUGUCUCGUGCCGAAGAUGCCCUCUCGGUUCUGCGACUACGAGCCCGUUCACCAGCCAACUCUCGCUGACGCUCGCAGUAGGCAGCUUCUCCCUCAGGAGGACGCACUUCUCGUGGUCCUGCCAUAGUUGUAGCUGGGAUGGAAUGUGCAGAAGCAAUUAUCCAAAACUCCGCAUAUUGGGAGCAGGGCCUACCACUGGAGAUGAGGGUGCUGUGAUCGGUUUGACAAUUGGUUGGAUUGCUUUGACGAUUGACGUCUUUGUGUUUCUUAGUGAGGUUACACACACAUUCGGCUGCGACGGAGAGAAUGACGUCAGGGACGGUGUGCCCCUAGUCCUCCGUUGUCGCUUGCAUUCGAUGUCUCCAGUUUGCUCGGUGGUGUGAUCAGCAACAUGUGCCCCGCGCUGGCGCUUGCGAUUCUUCAAAAUUAAGUUGCUUCAAAAUUAAAUCUGCCCGGCACGCAAGACAAUAAAGGGCUCAUACUCCCUUAAGCAAUGGCUCAUACCCGUUACGGCUGGAGAAGAGUGAAAUUCUACGUUGAAAUGACGAGUGACAACGAAACCAGCUGUGGAAGAAGACGACGACGACAACGAACGUGGAAGAAGUGGCACGAGCGCCUUGGCGCGGUUGAGCCGAGGGGCGCCAACGAGCCAGCUGUGGUAGAAGACGACAAUGCUCGAGCCAUUGCUAAUGAUAGUAGUUUCAGUGAAGUCCGACAACGACUGCACCAGGUCCGCAUAAACAGUUUCGCUGUAGUAAGCGAGCAUCACGCUAGAGUGUGAAUAUAGCAAGUGAAUGCUGAGCGUGACCGAAACUUAUCGGUAUUGGACAUAUUGACUAGUUCCUAAUGUUAUCGCCGGUGGAGGCGUCGAAGGACAGCGGAGCUGCGCUUGCUGCUUAAUGCCGGGCGACCUUGCGUACCACCAGAUGCUGACGCGUGUGGUCUGAUAGCUACACAAAUUUAGAGAAGCACCCUUAUGAAUAAACAUUCAAAUAAACCAACAUGCUCGUUUAAUAUGCUUUAUUUCGGACACGAUAGUACGACUGCCUAUGGACCCGGGCGGCAGCGUGGCAUGGAAGGGAACCGAGUAGCAUCUGUAACGCUAGCAUCAACGCAGCCAGAAGCAUGCAAUGAAUGGAACAACGCUAUAUCUGACAAAAUCAAGUACGCUGCUGGGUAUGCCUUCUAUCCGCAUUAGGUGGCCCUGUUGAAUUCUAAUAGGCGAAAUGCUAUUCAUGGUGUUCCAGCUUGUAUUCACCUAGUAUAUAACAGACAGGCUGCAUUGUACAUUAAUAAGACCAAGUGU